AAGUUUUAUAAAUGAGCCUUAAGCCCUAUUCGGACGGGAUUAGUUUUAUGUGGUGACGCGGGGUAAAGUAAUUAUUACCAGGGAAUUUAGUCCCGUCCGAACGCACCGUGUCAGUAAAAAACACGGAGUAUGUCAGUAAACUUUACAGCGACUUUUACCUUCU
Molecule: long non-coding RNA, 163 nt
Organism: Thalassophryne amazonica
Lineage: Eukaryota; Metazoa; Chordata; Actinopteri; Batrachoidiformes; Batrachoididae
Exons: 3
Source: RefSeq, a predicted model, not a curated record